RNAcentral lists this ribosomal RNA (460 nucleotides) under uncultured bacterium. RNAcentral describes it as "partial 16S ribosomal RNA". It matches the Rfam family "Bacterial small subunit ribosomal RNA", at positions 338 to 795 of the family's 1533-position model. The record is from RNAcentral.
CCUACGGGAGGCAGCAGUGAGGAAUAUUGGUCAAUGGACGAGAGUCUGAACCAGCCAAGUAGCGUGAAGGAUGACUGCCCUAUGGGUUGUAAACUUCUUUUAUAUGGGAAUAAAAUGUUCCACGUGUGGGAUUUUGUAUGUACCAUAUGACUAAGGAUAGGCUAACUCCGUGCCAGCAGCCGCGGUAAUACGGAGGAUCCGAGCGUUAUCCGGAUUUAUUGGGUUUAAAGUGAGCGUCGGUGGAUUGUUAAGUCAGUUGGGAAAGUUUGCGGCUCAACCGUAAAAUUGCAGUUGAAACUGGCAGUCUUGAGUACAGUAGAGGUGGGCGGAAUUCGUGGUGUAGCGGUGAAAUGCUUAGAUAUCACGAAGAACUCCGAUUGCGAAGGCAGCUCACUGGACUGCAACUGACACUGAGGCUCGAAAGUGUGGGUAUCAAACAGGAUUAGAUACCCGAGUAGUC